This 497-nucleotide ribosomal RNA is filed under the name uncultured bacterium. RNAcentral describes it as "partial 16S ribosomal RNA". It matches the Rfam family "Bacterial small subunit ribosomal RNA", at positions 28 to 507 of the family's 1533-position model. The record is from RNAcentral.
GACGAACGCUGGCGGCGUGCCUAAUACAUGCAAGUUGAGCGCUGAAGGUUGGUACUUGUACCAACUGGAUGAGCAGCGAACGGGUGAGUAACGCGUGGGGAAUCUGCCUUUGAGCGGGGGACAACAUUUGGAAACGAAUGCUAAUACCGCAUAAAAACUUUAAACACAAGUUUUAAGUUUGAAAGAUGCAAUUGCAUCACUCAAAGAUGAUCCCGCGUUGUAUUAGCUAGUUGGUGAGGUAAAGGCUCACCAAGGCGAUGAUACAUAGCCGACCUGAGAGGGUGGUCGGCCACAUUUGGACUGAGACACGGCCCAAACUCCUACGGGAGGCAGCAGUAGGGAAUCUUCGGCAAUGGACGAAAGUCUGACCGAGCAACGCCGCGUGAGUGAAGAAGGUUUUCGGAUCGUAAAACUCUGUUGGUAGAGAAGAACGUUGGUGAGAGUGGAAAGCUCAUCAAGUGACGGUAACUACCCAGAAAGGGACGGCUAACUACGUG